RNAcentral lists this ribosomal RNA (465 nucleotides) under uncultured delta proteobacterium. RNAcentral describes it as "partial 16S ribosomal RNA". It matches the Rfam family "Bacterial small subunit ribosomal RNA", at positions 338 to 794 of the family's 1533-position model. Lineage: Bacteria; Deltaproteobacteria. The record is from RNAcentral.
CCUACGGGAGGCAGCAGUGGGGAAUCUUGCGCAAUGGGGGAAACCCUGACGCAGCGACGCCGCGUGGGUGAUGAAGGCCUUCGGGUCGUAAAGCCCUGUCAGGUGGGAAGAAACAUAUCGGUGUUAAUACCAUCGAUAUCUGACGGUACCACCGGAGGAAGCACCGGCUAACUCCGUGCCAGCAGCCGCGGUAAUACGGAGGGUGCAAGCGUUGUUCGGAAUUACUGGGCGUAAAGGGCGUGUAGGUGGUCAGGCAAGUCAGAUGUAAAAUCCUUCCGCUCAACGGAAGAAGUGCAUUUGAAACUACCUGGCUAGAGUACGGGAGAGGAGAGUGGAAUUCCCGGUGUAGGGGUGAAAUUCGUAGAUAUCGGGAGGAACACCAGUGGCGAAGGCGGCUCUCUGGCCCGAUACUGACCCUGAAACGCGAAAGCGUGGGGAGCAAACAGGAUUAGAUCCCCUUGUAGU